RNA transcript from Salvia splendens (bonfire salvia), 1947 nucleotides. It is a transcript of the gene named heat stress transcription factor A-1, with no coding region annotated. Lineage: Eukaryota; Viridiplantae; Streptophyta; Magnoliopsida; Lamiales; Lamiaceae. The transcript has 5 exons. The record is from RefSeq and is a predicted model, not a curated record.
UCCUCUUUCUUCAACCCGUACAAUCCCUCCCCUCCUCUCUCAGUUUGUGAUUCGGUAGAAAUGGAGGCUGGAGGCGGAGGAAUUUUAACGGCGGCGGCGUCUCCGCCGCCGUUUCUGAGUAAGACUUACGACAUGGUGGAUGAUCCGGCGACGGAUGCGGUGGUAUCGUGGAGCAAGAACAACAACAGCUUCGUCGUCUGGAACGUGCCGGAGUUCGCCAGAGACCUUUUGCCUAAGUAUUUCAAGCAUAAUAAUUUCUCCAGCUUCGUUCGUCAGCUCAAUACUUAUGGCUUCAGGAAAGUGGAUUCUGAUCGUUGGGAGUUUGCUAAUGAGGGUUUUCUUAAAGGUCACAAGCAUUUACUGAAAACCAUAAACAGGCGUAAAACAUCCCAUGCACAAAGCCAGCAACAAAAUGUUCAAACUCAGAAUCCCCCUGUCCCGUCUUGCAUCGAGGUCGGUAAGUUUGGGAUGGAGGAAGAGGUUGAGAGGUUGAAGAGAGAUAAGAAUCUUCUCAUGCAGGAGCUUGUUAGGUUGAGGCAGCAGCAACAAACAACCGACAGUCAAUUGCAGACUGUUGGUCAGCGUGUUCAUGUAAUGGAGCAACGGCAGACGCAAAUGAUGUCCUUCCUUGCAAAAGCUAUGCAAAGUCCUGGCUUUGUUUCACAGCUGGUGCAUCAGCAGAGCGACAACGGUAGACAUAUUUCUGGUGCUAACAAGAAAAGGAGGCUGCCAAAUCAGGAUGACGAAAUUUUAGCUCACAAGUUGAGUAGUACAUUGCCCGAUGGACAGAUUGUCAAAUACCAGCCUUUGAUGAAUGAAGCUGCGAAGGCAAUGCUAAGACAAAUCAUGAAAAUGGAUACAUCAAAUAGGUCCGAGUCUAAACUGAGCAGUCCUAAUGGUCUCUUGAUUGAUAGAGCACAUUCUCCCCCUGAUUUGUUAGAUAGCAGUAGUUCAUCCAGUAGAAUAUCAGGAGUGACUCUUUCAGAGGUUGUACCCAAUACCUCAUCCUUGUCUGAGGUCCAAUCUUCCUCUUGUGUGACACAUGCUAGUUCUUGUAAUACCCUCUUUCCGGAGGCAAGCACAGGGGUACCUGAUUUCAUUCCGACACAAGUAAUCAGUCCAGGAAAUAGUACCGACCUUCCUAAUAGACCGUUGAAGGGGCCGGAGCCUACAAAUUUCAGUUCUGUUGAUGCACUUCCGGGGUUUGUUGAUGCCCCUAUACCUCCUCCGUCAGAUGAGCCUUUAGAAGAUUAUGACGUUGACAUCUUGCUCGAUGACAUCCAUAAGCUGGUAGGUAUGGAUGAUGAUACGCAUAAGCGGCUGGGUAUAAGUGAUGAUAUCCGUAAGUUGCCGGGUAUUAGUGAUAAUAUUCAUAAGCUUCCGGGUAUAAACGAUGUAUUCUGGGAACAGUUUCUUCCUGAGACCCCCAAUACUGAAACAACAGACGAGAUAAUUACUGUUGAUCUUGGACAUGAAAUGAACACGGAUCAAUUGAUUGAACUAGAAAGCGAAUGGGACAGGCUGAAUAGUUUGAAUAAUCUUACUGAACAGAUGGGGCUUCUUGCAUCAACUGCGAAGAUCGGUUAACAAAGCAUCCGCCCAUAGAAACCACCCCUUUUAGAGCUGGGCGUACCAUCAGGCUUGGAUACAAAGAUACUCUACCAAAUAGUGUGGACGAUUUGUUGCGAGUCGGCCUUGUUGACUGAGUUGAGUCAAGGGCAUCCGCAACGUGGGGGUUUCGUCACCUCCCGGGGGGACUAGACAAGGGAGCAAGCGUCCGUCCCGUCCCCAGUGUUGCUUGGCCAAGGGACGAAUGUGAGCUGUCCCUCCAUGCGUCCAGCCUCCCUUAAUCAAAAUGUACCGUGAAGCACACUCGCGGGCUUCAUUUGAGAUUUUUUUUUAAUAAAAGAAUUCUAAGAUUUGAAUUAUGAAAUUUGGUCACAACAA